Ixodes scapularis (black-legged tick) is the source of this 287-nucleotide long non-coding RNA. RefSeq lists it as uncharacterized. NCBI's taxonomy places the organism in Eukaryota, Metazoa, Arthropoda, Arachnida, Ixodida, Ixodidae. The transcript has 3 exons. The record is from RefSeq and is a predicted model, not a curated record.
GAAUGUUUGUCUGGUGCAGAUUAACCUAGUUGUUAUUUUUUUCUGCGUCUUUUAUUGCAGAAAUUCGAUGGUGACUCUUGACUCAUCUGACGGAUAUACCGCUAAAAACAUUGUUAAUAUCCGAGGUGAAGGAAAUACUUCUAACCUGUUAUACGUCGCUUACCUGGACUGCAAGAAGUGUGUUCUACUCAGAAACGUCUAUGUAGACGAUUCUGCUUGUGCUCUUCUGGUCCCCGAGAGCGAACUUGGUCAUCACUCCAUCGGUUGCGAUUUUGUUUUCGAUCUUC